RNAcentral lists this unclassified non-coding RNA (234 nucleotides) under plant metagenome. RNAcentral's name for it is "partial contains small subunit ribosomal RNA, internal transcribed spacer 1, and 5.8S ribosomal RNA". The record is from RNAcentral.
UUUCCGUAGGUGAACCUGCGGGAGGAUCAUUACUGAGUGAGGGCCCUCUGGGUCCAACCUCCCACCCGUGUUUAUUGUACCUUGUUGCUUCGGUGAGCCCGCCUCACGGCCGCCGGGGGGCAUCUGCCCCCGGGCCCGCGCUCGCCGUAGACACCCUUGAACUCUGUCUGAAGUUUGCAGUCUGAGCGAAAACUAAAUAAGUUAAAACUUUCAACAACGGAUCUCUUGGUUCCG